GCGCAGCAGUCGCGAAAACUCCGCAAUGCUCGAAAGAGUGACGGGGGGAUUCCAAGUGCCUACGCUUAGCGUAGGCUGUUCAGAUGCCUAAAAAAGCAUCUGGAGUAAGGGCUGGGUAAGACGGGUGCCAUCUGCAGUGGUAAUGAAAAACUUGCUACUGCAAGGCAUAAGCCGCCGCGGUAAUACCCGCAGCCCGAGUGGUAGUUGCUUUUAUUGGGCCUAAAGCGUCCGUAGCCGGUCUGGUAAAUGCCUGGGUAAAUCGUGGGGCCUAACCUCACGAAUUCCGGGUAGACUGCCAGACUUGGGACCGGUUGAGGGAGAGGGUACUCCGAGGGGUAGGGGUGAAAUCCUGUAAUCCUUGGAGGACCACCGGCGGCGAAAGCGCUCUCCUAGGACGGUCCGACGGUGAGGGACGAAAGCCA
Molecule: ribosomal RNA, 422 nt
Filed under: uncultured microorganism
Description: bacterial SSU rRNA
Rfam family: Archaeal small subunit ribosomal RNA
Source: RNAcentral